UACGUAGGGGGCGAGCGUUGUCCGGAUUUAUUGGGCGUAAAGAGCACGCAGGCGGUCUGUUAAGUUUGGAGUGACAGUUGGUGGCUCAACCACCAAAGUGCUUUGAAAACUGGCAGACUUGAGGGCUUCAGAGGGACACGGAAUUCCGGGUGGAGUGGUGAAAUGCGUAGAGAUCCGGAGGAACACCGAAGACGAAGGCAGUGUCCUGGGGAGUACCUGACGCUCAGAAGCGAAAGCAUGGGGAGCGAACAGG
Molecule: ribosomal RNA, 253 nt
Filed under: uncultured bacterium
Lineage: Bacteria
Description: partial 16S ribosomal RNA
Rfam family: Bacterial small subunit ribosomal RNA
Source: RNAcentral